Molecule: long non-coding RNA, 342 nt
Organism: Saccostrea cuccullata (small rock oyster)
Lineage: Eukaryota; Metazoa; Mollusca; Bivalvia; Ostreida; Ostreidae
Exons: 3
Source: RefSeq, a predicted model, not a curated record
CUGUAAUAGAUUUUGACUGAAAAAUUUUCAGAACUUGAGGAUCGGACUACCUUAAAGAAAGGUAACAGAUCAUCAAAUAUUUACCUGGACGUAAUCAGCCGGAACAAGAGCCUGGGCAAUGACUGCUUGGGUCAGUACAAUGAAGAUGGCGGUCUUCAUGGUGUUGACUGCUGAUAUUGAGGGGAUGAAGAAACUGAAUAUAAUAGUAUAUUUAUAGGGAUCUCUACCACUCCUCAGGACGUACAUGUUAGACGCUGCUUGCUGGAGAGUUCUAGUUCUAAUGUAGAGACUUUUAGAGUGAUUUGCACUUUAAUUUAUAAAUGAAAUAAACGGAAAUAUAUA